GUACAAAUGAGGAAAGGCUUACGGUGGAUACCUAGGCACCCAGAGACGAGGAAGGGCAUAGUAAUCGACGAAAUACUUUGGGGAGUUGAAAAUAAGCAUAGAUCCGGACAUUCCCGAAUAGGGCAAACUUUUGAACUACUGCUGAAUCCAUGGGCAGGCAAGAGAAACCCUGGAGAACUGAAACAUCAUAGUAGCCAGAGGAAAAGAAAGCAAAAGAGAUUCCCGUGGUAGCGGCGAGCCAAAUGAGAGCAGCCUAAAUAGUGAAAAUGGGGUUGUGGGAGAGCAAUACAAGUGUCAUGAUACUAGGCGAAGCAACUUUAAUGUUGCACCCUAGAUGGAGAAUGUCCAGUAGCCGAAAGCAUCACUAGCUUACUCUCUGACCCGAGUAGCAUGGGGCAUGUGGAAUCCCAUGUCAAUCAGAAAGGACAACCUUGCAAGGCUAAGUAGUACUAUGAGGGAAGGGUGAAAAGAACCUCCAUCGGGGAGUAAAAUAGAACAUGAAAUUGUAAGCUCCCAAGCAGUGGGAGGAGCCAGGGCUCUAACCGCGUGCCUAUUGAAGAAUGAACCGGUGACUCAUAUGCAGUGUCUUGGUUAAGGCAACCCACCGGAGCUGUAGCAAAAGCGAGUCUUCAUAGGGCAAUUGUCACUGCUUAUGGACCCAAACCGUGGUGAUCUAUCCAUGAACAGGAUGAAGCUUGGGUGAAACUAAGUGGAGGUCCAAACCGACUGAUGUUGAAGAAUCAGCCGAAGAGUUGUGGUUAGGGGUGAAAUGCCACUCGAACCCAGAGCUAGCUUGUUCUCCCCAAAAUGCGUUGUGGCGUAGCAGUUGACUGGACAUCUAGGGGUAAAGCACUAUUUUGGUGCGGGCCACGAGAGCGGUACCAAAUCGAGGCAAACUCUAAAUACUAGGUAUGGCCUUAAAAUUAAAAAAGAGGGGUCAAAGUCGGCUAGUGAGACGAUGGGGGAUAAGCUUCAUCGUCGAGAGGGAAACAGCUCGGAUCACCAGCUAAGGCCGCUAAAUGGCCUCUCAGUGAUAAAGAAGGUAGGGGUGUGGAGACAGCCAGGAGGUUUGCCUAGAAGCAGCCACCCUUAAAAGAGUGCGUAAUAGCUCACUAAUUGAGCGCUCUUGCGCCGAAGAUGAAUGAGGCUAAGUGAUCUGCAUAAUCUAUGGGGUGUAAAAAUAUAUUAGUAGGGGAGCGUUCCGCCUUAGAGGGAAGCCUCUGCACGAGCGGUGAUGGACGAAGCGGAAGCGAGAAUGUCGUCUUGAUUAAAGCAAACAUUGGUGAGAAUCCAAUGCCCCGAAAACCUAAGGGUUCCUCCACAAGGUUUGUCUAUGGAGGGUAAGUCAGGGCCUAAGAUCAGGCCAAAAGGUGUAGUCAAUGGACAACAGGUGAAUAUUCCUGUACUACCCCUUCUUGGUCCCGAGGGACGGAGGAGGCUAGGUUAGCCGAAAGAUGGUUAUCGGUUCAAGAACGUAAGGUGUCCCUACCCUUUUUUCAGGGUAAGAAGGGUUAGAGAAAAUUCCUUGAGCCAAUGAUUAAAUACCAGGUGCUACGACGCUGAAGUAACCCAUGCCAUACUCCCACGAAAAGCUUGAACGACUUUGAGCAAGAGGGUACCUGUACCCAAAACCGGCACAGAUGGGUAGGUAGAGAAUACCUAGGGGCACGAGAUAACUCUCUCUAAAAAACUCGGCAAAAUAGCCCCGUAACUUUAGGAGAAGGGGUGGUGCCUUUUCACAUCAUAAAGGGGGUCACAGUGACCAGGCUUGGGCGACUCUUUACCAAAAACACAAGUCUCCGCAAGGUCAUAAGACCAUGUAUGGGGGCUGACGCCUGCCCAGUGCCGGAAGGUCAAGGAAGUUGGUGACCUGAUGAUAGAGGAGCCAGCGACCGAAGCCUCGGUGAACGGCGGCCAUAACUAUAACGGUCCUAAGGUAGUGAAAUUCCUUGUCGGGUAAGUUCCGACCCAAACGAAAGGUAUAAUGAUCUGGGCACUGUCUUGGAGAGAGGCUCGGUGAAAUAGACAUGUCUGUGAAGAUGUGGACUAUCUGCACCUUGACAGAAAGACCCUAUGAAGCUUCACUGUUCCCUAGCAUUGGCUUUGGGCCUUUCCUGCGCAGCUUAGGUGAAAGCCGAAGAAGGCCUCCUUCCGGGGGGCUCGAGCCAUCAGUGAGAUACCACUCUGGAAGGGCUAGAAUUCUAACCUUGUGUCAGGACCUACGAGCCAAGGGACAGUCUCAGGUAGUCAAUUUCUAUGGGGCGUAGGCCUCCCAAAAGGUAACAGAGGCGUGCAAACGUUUCCUCGGGCCAUACAGAGAUUGGCCCUCGGAUGCAAAGACGUAAGGGAUCUUGACUGCAAGACCCACCCAUCGAGAAGGGACGAAAGUCGACCUUAGUGAUCCCACGGUAUCGAGUGGAAGGGCCGUCGCUUAAUGGAUAAAAGUUACAAUAGGGAUAACAGGCUGAUCUUUCCCAAGAGAUCACAUUGACGGGAAGGUUUAGCACUUCGAUGUCGGCUCUUUGCCACCUGGGGUUGUAGUAUGUUCCAAGGGUUGGGUUGUUCGCCCAUUAAAUCGGUACGUGAGCUGGGUUCAAAAUGUCGUGAGACAGUACGGUCCAUAUCCGGUGUGGGAGUUAGAGCAUUGAGAGGACCUUUCCCUAGUGAGAGAGGACCGGGAAGGACGCACCUCUGGUGUACCAGUUAUCAUGCCCACGGUAAAUGGUGGGUAGCCAAGUGCGGAGCGGAUAACUGCUGAAAGCAUCUAAAUAGUAAGCCCACCAUAAGAUGAGUUCUCUCCUAUUCCCACUUCCCCAGAGCUUCCAGUAGCACAACCAAGACAAGGAUGGGUUCUCGGCCCCUGUGGGGAUGGAGCGACAAAAGUUUUUUUGAGAAUUCAAGAGAAGGUCACGGUGAGACGAGCCGUUUAUCAUUACGAUAGGUGUCAAGUGGAAGUGCAGUGAUGUAUGCAGCUGAGGCAUCCUAACAGAUCGGUAGACUUGAACCU
This is a non-coding RNA of Capsicum annuum, 3007 nucleotides long. The record is from Rfam. NCBI's taxonomy places the organism in Eukaryota, Viridiplantae, Streptophyta, Magnoliopsida, Solanales, Solanaceae.